CCUACGGGAGGCAGCAGUGGGGAAUUUUGGACAAUGGGCGCAAGCCUGAUCCAGCAAUGCCGCGUGAGUGAAGAAGGCCUUCGGGUUGUAAAGCUCUUUUGUCAGGGAAGAAACGGUGGGGGCUAAUAUCCCUCGCUAAUGACGGUACCUGAAGAAUAAGCACCGGCUAACUACGUGCCAGCAGCCGCGGUAAUACGUAGGGUGCAAGCGUUAAUCGGAAUUACUGGGCGUAAAGCGUGCGCAGGCGGUUUUGUAAGUCUGUCGUGAAAGCCCCGGGCUCAACCUGGGAAUUGCGAUGGAGACUGCAAGGCUUGAAUCUGGCAGAGGGGGGUAGAAUUCCACGUGUAGCAGUGAAAUGCGUAGAGAUGUGGAGGAACACCGAUGGCGAAGGCAGCCCCCUGGGUCAAGAUUGACGCUCAUGCACGAAAGCGUGGGGAGCAAACAGGAUUAGAUACCCUGGUAGUCCACGCCCUAAACGAUGUCUACUAGUUGUCGGGUUUUAAUUAACUUGGUAACGCAGCUAACGCGUGAAGUAGACCGCCUGGGGAGUACGGUCGCAAGAUUAAAACUCAAAUGAAAUUGACCGGNUGAGAGUGACGAGGACGACGACGAGGGAGGAGG
This 621-nucleotide ribosomal RNA is filed under the name uncultured bacterium. Its description in RNAcentral is "bacterial SSU rRNA". It matches the Rfam family "Bacterial small subunit ribosomal RNA", at positions 338 to 951 of the family's 1533-position model. The record is from RNAcentral.